GCCAGGUGCAGGGGUGCGCACCUGUGAUCCCAGCAACUGGGGAGGCUGAGGCAGGAGGAUCACAAGUCCAAGGCCAUCCUGGGCCACUUAGGGAGACCUUGUUUUGA
Molecule: small RNA, 107 nt
Filed under: Marmota monax (woodchuck)
Lineage: Eukaryota; Metazoa; Chordata; Mammalia; Rodentia; Sciuridae
Source: RNAcentral